This 404-nucleotide ribosomal RNA is filed under the name Actinomycetes bacterium. RNAcentral's name for it is "Actinobacteria bacterium partial 16S ribosomal RNA". It matches the Rfam family "Bacterial small subunit ribosomal RNA", at positions 355 to 776 of the family's 1533-position model. Lineage: Bacteria; Bacillati; Actinomycetota; Actinomycetes. The record is from RNAcentral.
UGGGGAAUAUUGGACAAUGGGCGAAAGCCUGAUCCAGCCAUGCCGCGUGAGUGAUGAAGGCCCUAGGGUUGUAAAGCUCUUUUGUGCGGGAAGAUAAUGACGGUACCGCAAGAAUAAGCCCCGGCUAACUUCGUGCCAGCAGCCGCGGUAAUACGAAGGGGGCUAGCGUUGCUCGGAAUCACUGGGCGUAAAGGGUGCGUAGGCGGGUCUUUAAGUCAGGGGUGAAAUCCUGGGGCUCAACUCCAGAACUGCCUUUGAUACUGAAGAUCUUGAGUUCGGGAGAGGUGGGUGGAACUGCGAGUGUAGAGGUGAAAUUCGUAGAUAUUCGCAAGAACACCGGUGGCGAAGGCGGCUAACUGGCCCGAUACUGACGCUGAGGCACGAAAGCGUGGGGAGCAAACAGG